RNAcentral lists this long non-coding RNA (1353 nucleotides) under Carassius auratus (goldfish). Its description in RNAcentral is "lncRNA (ENSCARG00000020888.1)". The record is from RNAcentral. Lineage: Eukaryota; Metazoa; Chordata; Actinopteri; Cypriniformes; Cyprinidae.
AUGUUGCUGAAGUUAUGGCUGAGAGAGAGAAAAGAGUCCCCGCCUACUUUCUUAAAACUACUGAACGAGAUUCCGGAGGAGGAGGAAAAUGAAGCCGCCCGCUGUAAGCUUGAUGCAACGGUGAAACCAGUAAUCCCAAAAGCGCAGCCACCACCAAAUCCCACUGAGAUUCAAGCAUUGAAAGCUGAGGUCAAGGAGCUGCGUGCCAAGCUGGAAGAGUCACGCAAGGCACCAGAAUCACCUGAAGCCCCAAAACAGAAAGCAAAGAUGACUUCUGAGAGUGCUGAAGCACGAAUAGACCCUGAAGUACAGAGCUUGAAGACUCAAGUCCAGCAACUGCAAAAACAUAUUGUCUGUAAUGAAAGUAGUGGGCAAUGUGUAACCCCGAAAAGAACGACAUUUCAGUGGCAAGCUGUGAGCUCUUAUGAGAGAAACAGGCCCUCAGUCAGCCGUGAUGAUUUCUUUUGUUACCGAUGUGGUGGCGAUGGGCACAUUGCCAGCCAGUGUCAAGAAUCAGAAAACCCCCCGGAAGUGAUCAGAAAGCUGCUCCGUGCACUAAAGAGAGCCAAGGGUGGGAAGAGUGAGUCGAUUCCACAUCCGACUGUGAGCAGAGAUGCACACUGCAAGAAGAGCCAUGUUCGUAAACCUGCUCAAAGUAACCAUCCUAGUGGUUUGGUAGGUCCCGCCUCCACUAUUUGCGUUAAGAUCAAUGGCCAUUCAUGUAAUGCCUUAUUGGACAGUGGAUCUCAAGUCACAAUAAUAUUUGACAAGUGGCAAAAGAAAUACUUGCCCAAUGUUCCCAUCCACCCCAUCACUGGUCUUUCAAUAUGGGGUUUGAGCUCCUCCAGCUACCCAUAUCAAGGCUACAUAGUAGUAGAUGUGGAGUUUCCAGCCACACUUACAGGAGUGAGUGAGUCUAUCUCUGUGUUAGCAUUAGUUUGUCCCGAGUCAAGUGGCCCAGACCAUGUUCCUGUCAUCAUUGGGACGAAUGCCAACUUAUUCCAUCGUUUAGCUGCUCUUUGUAAAGAUGCUGACAUUCCAGACUCACAGGCUCACGCUUUCAGAAUUUUGCCACAGACAAAACCAGUGAAACUCUCCCAUAGCCAAGAGGUGGAUGUGGAAGAGCCGAAGGGGGAAGUAAAAUGGAUGGGUCCGGGUCCUCUAUCUGUCCCUGCCAGAGGUGAACGAUAUGUCGUCUGCAAAGUUGGAUGCAAGGAGCCCUUAGAAAAAGACAUAGUCAUGGUUGAAACACCUCUUUCUGUGACCCUACCUGCUGGAGUGCUCAUUCAGCCGGUGGUGCUAACAUCAUCUGAGCUAAAUGUCAACAGUUUCGAAAGUACUGCUGAGAAAUGA